UAAUUCUUACAACCCCUCCUGAUCUUUGUUUUACAGAUGAGGAAAUUGAGACUCAGAGAGGUUGAGUAACUUUCCCAAGGUCACAGAGUUAGUAGUGUACCUAGGAUUUUAACCCAAGUCUGGCUGAGUCCAAAGCGUAAGUUCUUAACUGUCAUGCCCAAUAUCCCUCUAGCUUCAGAGUCAGGCAGGGCUAGAGGACAGAGCCCAGAGCCAAACCUAAAAGGAAGGUUGACUUUUAAGGGGUGAAAAUGCAGUCACGUCAAGAAGAAAGUUAUCCAACAUCUGUUCACAGGGCCAAGGCCUCCUCCUGGCAGAGUAGAUCUGGUUGGCAGGGAAGGAAAAUUGGAGUUGCAUGAGGAGCAUCUUGGAUCUGGGAAAAAGACCUAAAGUCUGAGUACUAUCAAGUGGGAGAGGAGGAAAAGCUAUAUGCCUCCCUCUGGUACUGACACAGGCUUAAGCAACUGCGUGGUGGAAAGCUGGUGGAUUCAUCUAGCUCAGAUGGCAAGUAAAAAGGAAUGAAGGCAAAGAAUGACAAUCCAAAGCAUGUCUCAAGGUGAUCACUGCAUGCGGACACUAUCUGGGAGAGGCUGGGAAAGGGAGCAAAAGAGGAAUCCAGGGGAAUUAAUCACUUGCCUGCCAAGGAGAUGCAGUUCAGAAACCAAAGGGAAAAGCAGGGCUCGCUCCCACAAAGCACUCAAUCUCCCAAAAGAAAAAGCAUAAAUAGAGUCAUAUUUGCCAAUGAAGGUUUCUAAAUGUUUAAACUAGCUGGUAACACCGCACAGAUGGAGAAACUAAUGCUUGCGGAAGUUAAUGAUUUGUACCGUAGUCACUCGGUGAGUCGGAGAUAGAGCAGAUGUAAACCCCCAAUCUCUGGACUCCCAGAUCUGCGCAUAAACUAUCAAAAAUACAAACCUUCUAGCCCUGAAAUCUGCCCAGCCCUUUUUCUACUGUGUGGUCCCUGUCAACCUUCAACAUUGUACUACACAGAAGGGAUUUCUUUCCCCUUACACGGUUUCUAAGUCUUGGUUAGCUACAUGACUGGGUUUCUGCAUUUUUUCUUUUAUUCUUUCAUUCAUUCUACAAAUAUUUAUUGAAUUUUUACUAUGCACAAGGCACUGUUCUAGACGCUGGGAACACAGUGGUGAACAAGACAGAGAUCUUGCUUUCCUCUAAUGCUGAUUCUGGGAGGGGCAGGCAGACAAUGAACAACAAACAAGAAAAUAUCAGAAUAAAAGUGUUAGACAGAAAACAGAGCAGAGUGAUGGGAUGGAAAGUAACAGCAGGAAAUAACUUAGAUUGAGUGGUCAAGAAUGGCCUCUUAGGGGAGGAGAUUUUGAGCUGAGACCUGAAUGCCCCCAAAAAGCCAGCCACAUGAAGAUGGGAGAAAAGCAGAUUUUUCAGUCAAAAUACACACGUAUAGAUUUCCCAGUUACGCACUCUGUAACCUGUUUUUUCAGCUACUCAAGAUAACUUAUUAGAUUGCCAGUGAAUGAAAGUGUCAUCCUAUGAGGAAUAAAGCAACACAUUUUAUUCUAAAUUUUAAAGUUUCAUUAGCAAGCUUUGAUAUUUUGACUAUUAAUUUUUAUUAAUCUGAAAUUCCCUACUCAUUUUACAACAGAUUAAGACACAGCAGUCUUAUCAGAGGUUAGUACACAAAGGAAUUAAGAGGCUCACUGAAGAGCUCAAGGGCAUGACAAAUGUUUCAUCCAGAUUAUGCUCAAAUUCAUCUGCACAAUAGAUACUACACAUUAUGUGGUCCACCACCGUCACUACCUUGCCCCAUUUUAUUCUAACCGGCCUCCCAGAUCUCCAGCAAACAAGGUGAUCCUUUCAAAAAGAAACUGCAAUCAUGUCUCUCCACCGCUAACCUCACUCUAAAUUACAACAUUCUGCAAUUGUGGAUUGUUAUGGGCUGAAUUACAUCCCCCCAAAAUUCAAACAUUGAGGCCUGUAUUAGUCUAUUCUCACGCUGCUAAUAAAGACAUAUCUGAGACUGGGUAAUUUAUAAAGUUAAGAGGUUUAAUUGACUCACACUUCCACAUGGCUGGGGAGGCCUCACAAUCAUGGAGGAAGGCGAGUGAGGAGCAAAGUUACAUCUUAGGUGGCGGCCGGUAAGAGAGCUUGUAUACGGGAACUCCCGUUUAUAAAAUCAUCAGAUCUCGUGAGACUUAUUCACUAUCACAAGAACAGGACGGGGGAAACCGCCCACAUGAUUCAAUUAUCUCCACCUGGCCCCGCCCUUGACACGUGGGGAUUAUUACAACUCAAGGUGAGAUUUUUGGUGGGGACACAGCCAAACCAUAUCAAGGCCCUAAACCCUAACGUGACUAUAUUGGGAGAUUAGGGCCUUUAAGGAGAUAAUUAAGGCUAAAUGAGGUCAAAAGGGAGGGUUCCUAUCCAAUAGGACAAGUGUCUUUAUGAAAAGAAGAGACACCAGAGAUCUUUCUCUACAUGCUCAUAGAGAAAAGGUCGUGGGAAAACACAGCGAGAGGGUGGCCGUCUGAAAGUCAGAAAGAGCUGCCUCACUGGACAUCAACUCCGAUAGCACCUUAUCUAGCACUUCUAGCCCCUAGAAUUGCGGGAAAAUAAAUGUCUGUUGUUUAAGCCGCCCAGUCUGUUGCAUUGUUAUGGUCCCCUGGCAAACACAUGCGUGGUUGUUGACCAUCUACUCACCUCACUUUCCUCUGCCUCUCUCCUGCUUUGCUCCCCUCGCCCACUCAUUCCAGACACGCUGGUGGCCCUGUUCCCUGUGCCUGAAGGAUUCCUCCCAGAAUACCCACGGGGAUCUCCCUUUCUCCCUCUUCAGGGCUUUGCUCAAACGUCCCUUCCCAGCGAGACUUUCUCUCACCACCUGUAUUUAAAAUCAUGAAACCUCCCCUCCUCCACAGCUCAUUCCAUUUCCCUCCUCUAUUACUCUUCACGGUACUUAUCCCCUGUCAAUAAAUAAUAGCCACGUAAUUUAUUUAUUUGGGUGCAUUGUUUGCCUCCUCCCACUAUGAUAUAAGCUCCAUGAGGGCAGGGAGUGUUGCCGUCCUGUAUCCUGUCAGAUGAGGACAGAGUAGAGGAGUGUGCAAGUGUAUAUGGGAAAGAGAGAGAGACUGAGAGAGAGAGAGAGGGAAAGAGAGAGGGAAAAGAUGACCAGUCAGAUCAAGAUUUUGCCCACUGGAGGCAGUUCUUUUGAGCUCUUUGACCCAAAUUUACUAGAUAUGGACUUAUAAAUGCUAAUAACAUAACAAAAAAUACUAUAAAUAGUUCACAGUGCAAUGAGGAGGUACUAUGCCCAAUACCUGGCAGAGGGCCUGUUACAAAGGAGAGGUUCAGUGAUUAUUUUUUGAACCGAAUGGUUAUUGUCACCAUGACCAGAAUCUCCAUAAUCUAGUGACCUGCCCCCAUUAUUAUCAUCUGAUUAUGAGAAAGGGUUUCAUCAUUUGGAAAUGUCACAGGUCAUUGGGAGCAGUGUCUUAUGUGCUGACAGUGACCAGCAUAGUGCCUGACUUGUGGUAGACUCCCGGUAAAUAUUUGUGGAAUUAAUCGAAUUUUUUUUUUUACAUUUAUCGGUUUAACAUAAAAGAAAUUGCAAAGAAUCAGAUGAAAAGAUGCAUAGGGCAAGGCAUGUGGAAAGGGACACAGAGCUCCCAUGCCUUGUCUGGGUGUGCCCCGUGCCAAGAACCUCCGCAUGUUCAGUUAUCCAGAAGUGCAUCCGAUCUCCGUCCUUUGCGGUUUUUACAGUGGCUUCAUUACAUAGGCAUGAUUGAUUAAAUAAUUGGCUGUUGGUGAUCAACUUGACUUUCAGUCCCUCUCUCCUUCCCAGAGGUUGAAGGGUGGGGCUGAAGUCCCAACCCUCUAAUCCUGCCUUGGUCUUUCCUGUGACCAGCCCUCAUCCUGAAGCCAUCUAAAGGUUGCCAGUCACCAGUAAUCUCAUUAGCAUUCAAAAACACACUUAUUACUUUGGAGAUUCCAAGGACUUUAGAAGCUGAAUGCCAGGAAACAAGGACCCAAUAUAUAUCCCAUAAAAUAACAGUUCACUCCCUAUCCUCCAACACAGAUCCCUUACAUUAAAAAAAUGUACAACUCAAAUGGUACUGGCAAAUUAUUGGAAUCCCAUUUAAUCUUUAAUAAUUAGUCCAGUCCACUCUUAUGUCAUGUGAAUAUGUCUCUCAGAGCAAGGCCACUCAGGUUUGCAGCCUUCUCAUUCAAUCUUGUCAGGGUCCAAGAGCAAGAGUAGUCUCAGCAAACAUAGAGCUUUACCCUUUCUGGCAUCUGGCAUAGUUGAGCUGAAAGACAAUGUCAUCUCUUGCUCUGAGCCUCUUUGGAAGUGUUGAUAUAAUAUUGGAUUUCUCUUAUUACAUACCAUUUAUUCAUUACUUUUUUAUAUGACCUUAUUUGAAGAUAUUAUUCAUUUCUUUAACCUCAUAUACUAUUUCUCCUUCUCUUCAUUUAUACCUAAACUUUUCCGCCUUUGCUAACAUAGCAGAAAAUCUGACAGGACAAAAAUACGUAGACACUACUCCUUUAGAUGUUAAUUUUAAGUAACUUUUCAAUACUGCCCAUUAUCCUAAUAUUCCUUUCAGUAAAUAAGCUUUGCUUAUUCUGCUUGGCUCUGAGCAUAAUGUUCAGAUUGGUUCAAAUAAAAAAAGCCACCAUAUUUUUAUCCUUGGGAAUAAGAAAACAGAAUUUCUUACAUGGUAGAAAGGAAAAACGUCACUACAAAAUGUAAUUAUAGCAUUUUACAAUAUGCAUCGCACAAACUGUAUAAAACACACAAAGUACAUCUACUAAAACUUUGUUCUAAAACAAUUUUUUAAGUGAGCUAGUUUUCAAUGCAGUCGAGAUUACUGAGUUAAAAAAAAGAUUGAGAAGGAUUGAGAAGGAGCUUUGCAUAAACAAAAACUCUAUCUGCAAAUAAUUAUUCCUUAAUCCUAAGAGCUGGGGUAGCUUUCCUUUGUUUAUUAGCUUUUUUUUUUGUUUUUUAAUGGAAGUGAUUUUCUUAGAGUAGAAAGUUUAGUAUCAGAAUUGGCUGUGUUGUAUAUAUGGUAGUCACUUUUCAGAUAUUUUCCUGUCUGUUGGUUUAGGGGCUCUUUCUCCACACCCACCCUCAAGGCUACCUCUAUCUCCACCUAGCCUCUGAAUAUCUCCACCAAAGAGCAAAUCAGUUGACUGAAGUCAGCAGCCCACAUCACAGAAACCACUGUAUGUGAUACAUCACCACCAGCCAGCUUGCUAACCAGGACAGACUUCAAAUAAAGAUAGCGUUGAAUUCUUUCAGAUGUGGAGGCAUGAGAGAAAAUAUCAGAAUUAAAGUCAAAUACUUUAAGUAUCACACUAAAAGAAAACAUUUGUGUAGCUGUCCAGAAAACCUAUGAGUUGUUGGCUGUAGUUCCUACAGAACUAUGGCAUUCCGUGUGUGGACAUUGUUAAGUGAUAAACCUUUCCAUUGAUGUGGCUUUGCCAGAAGCCACUUAGCAUGCUUUAAAUUCAUAGCUUGAUAGGUUUCCAUGGAGAGCUUCCUUUAAAGGUAUUUCCUUCUUUGGAUUUCUACAGUUCUGUAUCUUAUACACCUCAGCAAUAUAACAUAAUGUGUUACUUAUUACUAUUUUUGAAAUGAAUAACCAAUAUUUCCCACCUUGAAAUAUACUUCAGCAAAGUCUAGAUCAAAACAUUUCUGUUUAUCGGGACAUGGAUUCAAGAAGUCUUGCAGAUAAUAAUUUAAAAUAUACGCAAGUAAUGGUAGAGUUAUAUGAUUGUCUUUCCCACUGCAACCUCAAUAAAUAUUUAUAAUGGAGUGUGUGUGGGGUGGGGUGUAGAGGGAGAGAGGGAGAAAAAAAAAGAGAGAGAGUCAGUCAGAUCAAUAUUUUGCUACUUGAAAACAUACAAAUAGCCAGUAGGCUUAUGAAAAAUGCUCAACAUCAGUAAUUAUCAGGGAAAUGAAAAUUAAAAUGACAAUGAGCUCCCAUCUCAUCCCUGUUAGAACAGCUAUUAUCAAAAAGACAAAAGAUAAAAAAUGUUGGCAAAGAUGUAGAGAAAAGGGAACGCUUCUACACUGUUGGUAGAAAUGUAAGUUAGUAUAGCCAUUGUGGAAAAUAGUGUGGAGGCACCUCAAAAAAACAAAAAUAGAAUUUGCAUAUCAUCCAGCAAUCUCACUUCUGGGUAUAUACCCAAAGGAAGUGAAAUCAGCACCUCAGAGUGAUAUCUGUGCCCUCAUGUUCAUUGCAGCAGUAUUCACAAUAGCCAAGAUACGGAAUAAACAUAAAUGUCCAUCAACAGAUGAAUGAAUUAAAAAAUGUAGUGGAAUACUAUUCAACUUUUAAAAAGAAGAAAAUUCUGUCAUUUUCAAUAACAUGGAUGAAUUUGGAGAACAUUGUGCUAAGUGAAAUCAGCCAGGUGCAAAAAAAACAAAUACCACAAGAUCUCACUUAUAUGUGGAAUCUGAAAAAAUCAAACUCAUGGACAUAGAGGGUAGAAUGGUGAUUACCAGAGGCUGAGGGGCAGGGUGGGGAGAAUAGAAUGGGGAGAUGUUGGUGAAAGGAGACAAAGUUUCAGUUAUACAGGAGCAAUAAGUUUCGAGAUCUGUUACACAGCAUGGUAACCAGUUAAUAAUGUAUCACAUGUUUCAAAAUUGCUUUAAAAAGUAGAUUGUAAAUGUUCUCACUACAUAAAAAUGGUAACUAUGUAAGGUGAUAAAAAUGUUAAUUAGCUUGAUAUAAUCAUGCUACAAUGUUUUUAUAUAUCAAAACAUCACAUUGUACCCCAUAAAUAUAUACAAUUAUUAUUUCUCAAUUCAAAAUAAAAAUUUGAGUUAAGAAAAGAUUUUACUCUGGCUGAACUUACAAAUGUGAAUGAAAUAAAAUAACAAAGAAAGAGUUCAAAGUACAAUGAAGAGGU
RNAcentral lists this long non-coding RNA (6882 nucleotides) under Homo sapiens (human). RNAcentral describes it as "HSALNT0190698". The record is from RNAcentral. Lineage: Eukaryota; Metazoa; Chordata; Mammalia; Primates; Hominidae.